This is an RNA transcript of Perca fluviatilis (European perch), 2608 nucleotides long. It is a transcript of the gene named protein kinase C, zeta, with no coding region annotated. The record is from RefSeq and is a predicted model, not a curated record. The transcript has 18 exons. NCBI's taxonomy places the organism in Eukaryota, Metazoa, Chordata, Actinopteri, Perciformes, Percidae.
AGAGAAGCCUCUACCGUUGACUUAACGAAAGAAAACUUCAUAGUAGCACGACAAGUUUUCUUCCGAGAGUAUUGGACAAAACGCUACUUUUUGUGUUAUGUAACGGUAGUUUUAAUUUUUUUUUUUUAUCUUCCGACGUGACCGGGUGACACAGCUAGUUUGGGCCUGUCCAGUUAACGUUGGGCUAGUUGGGAGGUAACAUCGUUAACGUUAACGUUACACCAAACUGUACAAUGCAUACCGCCGGUAUGCUAGCGUCAAACGGAUCAAUAAUGGACUUGGACUCGGAGUUGGUGAAAAUAAAAGCACACUACCGUGGGGACAUGUUAAUCGCAGACUUGGCAGCCACGGUAAACUUUGUGGAGUUGCGUGAGGAGGUGAGAAAGAUGUGCAGCGUUGCCAAGCAGCAGCCCAUCACGCUCAAAUGGAUCGAUGAUGAAGGGGACCCUUGUACCAUCUCGUCCCAGAUGGAGCUGGAGGAGGCUUUUCGUAUUUACAAUCGAACCAAGAGGUCUGGACUACUGCUGCAUGUCUUCCCCAGUAUCCCAGAGCGGCCUGGCAUGCCCUGCCCUGGAGAGGACAAAUCGAUCUAUCGCCGCGGGGCCAGAAGAUGGAGGAAACUCUACCGAGUCAACGGACACCUCUUCCAGGCCAAGCGCUUUAACAGGAAAGCCUACUGUGGCCACUGUAGUGAAAGGAUAUGGGGGCUGGGCAGGCAGGGCUACAAGUGUAUCAACUGCAAACUGCUGGUCCAUAAGCGCUGUCACAGACUCAUCCCUCAGACCUGCCAAAGGCUUAUGGAUCCAGUCAUGCCAUCACAGGAGCCCCCUUCAGAUGCCAAGAGUGAAGAAGUGGACCUUCCACCAGAUGACACAGAGGACACCGACGGAAUAUCUUUUUUACCACACAACUGUUCCUUGGAUAAAACCGAAGACGCAGAGACAGAGGACAUUAAAGCAGUGGUGGAUGGCAUCGACGGCAUUAAGCUGUCCCAGGACCUGGCUCUGGGCCUGGGGGACUUUGACCUGAUCCGAGUGAUCGGGCGCGGCAGCUACGCCAAGGUGCUGCUGGUUCGGCUAAAGAAGAACAAGCAGGUGUACGCCAUGAAGGUGGUGAAGAAGGAGCUGGUCCACGACGAUGAGGAUAUCGACUGGGUGCAGACAGAGAAGCAUGUGUUUGAGCAGGCGUCCACCAAUCCAUUCUUAGUAGGCCUCCACUCCUGUUUCCAGACAGAAAGUCGGUUAUUUCUGGUGAUUGAAUAUGUUAACGGCGGGGACUUGAUGUUUCAUAUGCAACGACAAAGGAAGCUCCCUGAAGAACAUGCAAGAUUUUAUGCUGCUGAAAUCUGUAUCGCUCUGAACUUCCUGCAUGAAAAGGGCAUCAUCUACCGAGAUCUGAAGUUGGACAACGUUCUCCUGGAUCACGAGGGACACAUCAAGCUCACAGACUACGGCAUGUGCAAGGAGGGGAUCAGACCAGGUGACACCACGAGUACCUUCUGUGGAACGCCCAACUACAUUGCACCUGAGAUCCUCCGAGGAGAGGACUACGGCUUUAGUGUGGACUGGUGGGCUCUGGGCGUGCUGAUGUUUGAGAUGAUGGCUGGGCGGUCACCGUUUGACAUUAUCACCGACAAUCCUGACAUGAACACAGAGGAGUACCUUUUUCAAGUUAUUCUUGAGAAGCCCAUUCGCAUCCCAAGGUCUCUGUCAGUGAAAGCUGCCAGCGUGCUCAAAGGCUUUCUAAACAAGGAUCCCAAGGAGCGGCUGGGUUGCCAGGUCCAGACGGGCUUCACAGAUAUCAAGGCACACACAUUUUUCCGCAAUAUAGACUGGGACCAGGUAAGAGCAGACUGGACAAGAAAGAGAUGACGCCGCCCUUCAAACCUCAAAUCACUGAUGACUACGGCCUCGAAAACUUUGACACGCAGUUUACUAAUGAACCAGUGCAGCUAACACCAGAUGAUGAGGACGUCAUCAAGAGAAUAGACCAGUCAGAGUUCGAGGGAUUUGAAUACAUCAACCCCCUGCUGCUAUCCACUGAGGAGUCUGUAUGAAGGGGAGACCAGCUUCCUCCUUUCGCCCACCUACUGUCUGUCCAAGCUGCCGUCUCAGCCAAAAAAACACUCGCAGGCCAACUCUGAAAGGCGAAGAGGGGGAAGAGUAAAGGGAGGACCCACUCACCCUCUGGACCUUUUUCAACACAGCAAAGCAAACUGGAGAACGGGAACGUUUCCUACCUGGACCAUUCAGAUAGUUUUGUUGGAAUACCAAACUCUUCUUUUCUUGGCAUCAAGGAAAACAAAGACACUGGACUUCAAGAACAUUCCCUGACGUUAUGUUGCCUUCCCUUUUCUUUUCUUUUCCCCCCUCCUUCGGCUUCAUUCUGUUCUCCUCUCUGAAUGUCCAUCCUCGUGUCAAAGCACGGUCGGCUUUGUGAUUUGAACGGAGAGCGGUUUCAUUCUGUGCCUGCCAUCACAAACACAUUUCAACCCGUCUCACAUCCCUGGAUAAAUAUGACAGUUCUGCUGAAGAACUUGAAAUUUUAGAUGCACUUUUUUUGUUAAUUUUUUUUUCUAUAUUGUGGCGGGGGGGGGCAAGCCUCACAC